GACCGCGUAGCUCAGUUGGCAGAGCAUUGGGCUAGUAUUCCAAAGGUCGUAGGUUCGAUUUCCACCGUGGUCA
Molecule: non-coding RNA, 73 nt
Organism: Paramuricea clavata
Lineage: Eukaryota; Metazoa; Cnidaria; Anthozoa; Malacalcyonacea; Plexauridae
Source: the annotation of a GenBank genome assembly